UAUUAGAUUAAUAUUCUUCAAACCCAAAGAAUAUGGCGGUGUUUUUUCAUAAUUAGAGGAACCUGUCUAUUAAUUCGAUAAUCCACGAAAAUCUUACUUAAAUUUAAAAAAAUUAAAAGCUUGCAUACCGUCGUUUGAAAUAAUAUUCGAAAAUCUUAUUAUCACAUACCAAUAUAAAUUUAAGGUCAGAUCAUGGCGCAGCUAUAUUUAAGGUUAAAUUGGUUACAUUCUAAAAUCUAUUGACAGAAAAUAAAAUGAAAAAUUAUUUUAAGCCGAAUCUAAACGUAAUUUAACAAGUUAUAAACUUUUAAUGAAUACUACAAAACAUGCACAUAUCGCCCGUCACUCUCA
This 351-nucleotide ribosomal RNA is filed under the name Mesamphisopus penicillatus. RNAcentral's name for it is "partial 12S ribosomal RNA". The record is from RNAcentral. Lineage: Eukaryota; Metazoa; Arthropoda; Malacostraca; Isopoda; Amphisopidae.